CGAAGAGAAUGGAAAGCUACAGUCUCUUGGAGCCGUCCAGCCUUGGCAAGGCAGCCCGGGGCCUUAUAAGGAAAUGUUGUUCCCUCUCAGCCAGUGGGACUGGGAUAGCGCCCCAGGCCUGCAGGACAGAGCUGCCCUUGUGGCGGCGGCGGUAGGCUGGGGGUGCCACCCGUGAAGCUCUCAAUGGACCACUUCUGCAGGCUCAGCAUUCCCUCUCGGCCCUGGCACUCUAGUCCCCUCUCCCCAUACCCACCCACUCCUCAGUGCCCCGCGCUGAUUGGAGGAAAGGGGAAAAAACAAACCAAAACAAAGACUUGGCAAGGUCGCUGGCCUCAUUGCCUUUUGACGCUGAAUUACUCAGAAAACAGAUUGAAAUCGAAUUCUGUCUUUUCCCUGAAGGACGCAUGAGUAAAGGAAUCCCUCUGACCUCCGGCACCCCGUCUCUCUGUGAACACAAGAAUUAGCGCCCUGCUCAGUCUGGUGAAGAAGGGCCGGAGGCUGAGACUUAUGGACAGUGCCUUCCGCCUCGUGAAUUCGCCUUUCCCACCUCCCAUGGGAAAGCCGGAGCCUUUGGAAGCCGCAGGAGAAAGGUGACUCUCCUCAGGCUCCUCACCUGUGCCAGGCGGGCCAGAGGGCCUGCAAGACUCGGAAUUGUGUUGAGGAAAAACACAGACUGCCCACACUGAGAGCCGUCUUUCUUUGAGUAAGAACAGCAAGCAUUACUCAGGCUCCAGAAGGAGGCCUGUUCUGCAGCCAGGCGAGGGGAGCCCGAGAAGACCUCACUCAACUUGAUGUUGAACUUGCCAGUGGGGGUAGAAGCAGAAAAGAUCUUGACCGUGGCCUUUUGCUGUGACUGUUCGGACACACAGAGAGCCAGGCGAUCCUGGAGCUAAGAGACUUGAAACAGACGGCCAGAGCGGCUUCCUCCUAAGGCUCACAGUCUCUUCCCAGCCUGCCGGGUGCACUUCGGCCGGCAUGUACAACUGUGACUGGGUACUCAGUUCCUCAAGUCUGUUCACCUAGGAUCUCCAGGUCCCCGCAGGGUGUCAGUCAUUAUGGGGCACCUCCAGGGUACAAAGGGGAAUAAACACCAGGACCCGGAGAAAAUUGUUGGUUUAUAGUGCCCAGAGCAAAGCUAUGAGAAGCACAGGAGAGAUGUGAUGCCCAGGCUACCAGCCCUGGUGAAAGCACAGGAAAGUGUUCUCAGGGCUGUGUGGAGGGAAAGACCUCUCAACUACAGUCUUAGUCAGGGCUUCUAUUGAUGUACUAAAACACCAUUGACCAAAAUCAACUUGGGGAGGGAGGGUUUACUUUAUCUUAUGCUUCCAGUUCAUCACCGAAGGUAGUCAGGGCAGGAUCUCAAGGCAGAAAACUGGAGGCAGGAGCUGAUGCAAAGGCCUCGGAAGAACGCUGCUUACUGGCGCGCUCCUCAUAGCUUGCUCAACCUGCACUCUUAUAACAACUGAGACCACCAGCCCAGGGGUGCUACCGUCCACCGUCAGCUGGGUCCUCCCACAUCGGUCAUCAAUCAAGAAAGGGCACCACAGGCUGGACCAUGGGCUAAUCUGACGGAGGCAUUUUCUCAGUUGAGGCUCCCCCUUUCCAAAUGGCUUGUGUCGGGUUCACAUUAAACUAGCCGGCACCUGAGGUGUUCACAGGAAUCGACCAAACCUUACAGAUCAGGGAUAUUAUUUGACUACAGUUGCUCCAUUGAUGCUGGUCCUACCUUCCCCACGGAUGCUGUGGGAGUCUGCCUUGCUUUCCCAUCACAGUGGAGCCCUUCUCGCUGAUGCUGCUGGAGCCCUCUCCUGUUCACUGAGGAUGCUGGACCACUGUAUUGCUGACCAGUACUGGAGUUACAUUUUCUCCGAGAGGAUGAGGAUUGAUCACUUCUGGACUCUCUCCUCUGUGGAUGCUGGUUUCUGGGAAGGCUAUCUAAGGCCCAUUCGGUAAAUGAGUCUCUUUUCCAAACGGAAAAUGUUUCUUCCGUUUGUGAGCACCAUGGUCCCUCCAGUGUUCUGUCAUCGGACAUUCCCCCGUGUCAGCCGCCCAGGACACUGCUGUUUAGCCACCACUUGCUGGGUGUCCUACGGGUUUCACUUACAGAGAUAGCAACAAGUCAGCACAAACAGAACUAUAAAUAUCUCGAUAGUGGCAGAUGCAUGAAAUCCGACUGGGUGGGGCAAACAGAUGCAGAUGCCCUGCUAGAUAAGAGCACAGCUUUGAGCCUACUGAAAUACUAAGCAAAGUGCGUAAAGGAUAAAAUUAAAAAAGAACUUACCUGUUU
Non-coding RNA from Peromyscus maniculatus bairdii (prairie deer mouse), 2287 nucleotides. NCBI's taxonomy places the organism in Eukaryota, Metazoa, Chordata, Mammalia, Rodentia, Cricetidae. The record is from RefSeq and is a predicted model, not a curated record.